GUUUAGGGUUCUUUACUGCUGGUAGGAAACAGAAAGAGAGCUGCAGUGGUGAAUUAUUGGCAUGGCAUUACUCCUGGGACCCCAAAAAAGAAAUCCUAUUAAAGAGAGUCCUUGUGAUCUCAUCGCUGUGUAUUUCAUGACUCUUCAAGAGGCUCUGCUAAAGUCAUUCCCAGAAAAUUUCCCCUGGAAAGGCUCAGGGGAGAAAGAAGCUGGAUCACCCUCUGGUCUGUUUACCAUUUACAGCUUCUGGAAGCAAAAGAGGUUUUUUUCUACAAGCAGCUCCGCUGUGUAAAGAAGCCUGGAGAUUCCAGGAGGAGAAAGCCAAGGCAGCAGGAUGCAAUAUUUCACUGCUCAGCCCUUCCUGGGCAGCCCUCAGGGCACAGUGCAGCUUCACGUGUUCCAUGGACACUGCUGACACUCUGCCUACUGCAACAAUUCUGUUCAACAGCCACAGUCAAAAGCCUCAGUGUGAAUCAGGACAAACCCCACAAAUGCCUGAAAUCUUAAAUAAUCAUGAGAUCCCUAAGCAGAGGGUCAGAGAGAGCCAUCUCCAAGGCAGAGAAACUGAGCCAGAGAUUAAGAAGUUAAGUGACUUGCCCAAGGCCAUGAAGAGAAGCAAAGUGAGAAUAAGGACUAACAAGCAGGAAUUCCCAGCAUCCCUGCAGGCUACAAGGCCCUUUCCUAUCCACCGUUUCCACAAUUCCCAAAUCAGUUCCACUUGAUUCCAAUGGCUUCAGAAGAGAUAAUCUGAUAAAGAGACCUGCCUGACAGAGAAUACAUUGUGUGUGCAACAAAGAUUUCAAGAGUUAUCUUGAUUUUUAGAGCUUGGCUGCACUCUCUUUUUCAACUUUAUCUUCGAAUUAGCAUACAGGCAUCCAAAACAUCUUGAUGCAGUAAAAAAAAAAAAAAAAAAAAAAAAAAAAAAAUUAGGUUUCUCUGUUCCUGUCUAAAGCAAAGCCCUGGAAACAGCCCGGGAACAGCCAGGAUGUUUCAGCAGCCAGCGUAUCACGCCAGUCUCUGUUCUGUACUGAAGGUCUCCCCCAUCCCAGCUGCUGCUGCUGCUACACUGUGAACCGACAGGAAGGGAAGCCAGGGACUGCUCCCGUGGCUUGGAAAGACAAGGCUCGCUGUGCCACCUGCAGGGCUGGCUGGAAAAGAUGCCUCUCGUAGGGAUUAGCACCGGCUCCAAGGCGGGGGCACCGUUUCCAUCCAGGAUGGAGCAGCCUCACUGCAGCUAAUUAGUGUAAGCAAGAGCAGAACACGGACUAGAGAAUGAUCCUGUCUAGUUCCAUUGGGUGGUUUCACUCCAUUCCUGCCUGCGCUCACCUACCUGGAAAAUUUAUGUUCUGUUGAAUGAGGGAAACUGAAAAACAAACACAAAUGAGAAUCAAAUCCAAGUUAUGCAGUUUACACACAAGUUCUAUGGAACUUGUACCUGUACCUACUCCUGCCUGUAACCUAGCCGUUUCCCCCUGCACUGAGCUGCAGUUCUUCACGAGGACUCUCUCCUUUUAUUUUACUUCUGAUUUAAUGCAAUUAUCUCCCCACUAAUGCAUCUCCAAAUGCACACCUCUACCUUUGUGUUUUGCUGGAGCAAAUGGCCUGAACAAAGAAGUUCAGAAAUUGACCUAAAUAUACCUAAAACUAAUCCAGGAAAAUAUCAAAGUUUGGCAGGAAGGUUAAAAAUACGUGUUCCAUUUUGGCUGAGGUCUUCUUUGCCUUUUUUAUUGGUUGUGAGCACUUGCAGUGGAGGAGCGCAGCAGUCAGAAGCUGAGAGAGAUCUGUUAAGUCAUUGUGCCUUCACUCAUGGUGAUCUCUGCUGGACAGGCACUCCCAAAUAAUGAAAUCCUCUUUAUCUGAUCCUUCUGCCAACAUAUGCUUAUUCCCCACCACACUGAUUGCUCCUGCUUUCUGCAGCAUGCUUUAAAUGUCCCAAGAGAUGGGGGUUCUACCACUUUCACUAAAAAAUCGUUUACACAGCCUGGUAGAUUUGGCCCCUGGGGAGGCUUUUUUAUUGUGUUUGGUUUCAGUGAGAGCCUCGGAGGUGUCGGUCAGUGAUUGAUUAUUGUUUGUAUUGUGGUAGCACCUACAGGCACCCGCUGAAACUGCAGACCUGCUCGAAGGUGCUGCCGAGCCCAAAUUCCUGGAGGAAGGACAGCUCAUCCAAGCAGAGGCACAGGGAGAGAAACUGAUUUCCCAAGCCCAAGCAGUGGCACUUGCAUGCAGUGAGGAGUGGAGACAAGCUGCUCUAAACCUGAUUCCUGCAUUCCCACCUGGGCACAGCAUCCCCAACAGCACCUCGAGUGUCCAGGCAAUGUGUACAUGCCCACAGGAGUUGUUCUGAUGAAAGAAGCACAAAAACAAUAAUCCCAUGACAACCAAACCCCAUUAGGGCUGAGGGUGGUUUUACAGGGCCCCAGUGCUGCAGCACAAGCC
Long non-coding RNA from Taeniopygia guttata (zebra finch), 2436 nucleotides. The record is from Ensembl. NCBI's taxonomy places the organism in Eukaryota, Metazoa, Chordata, Aves, Passeriformes, Estrildidae.